GACGAACGCUGGCGGCGUGCUUAACACAUGCAAGUCGAACGGUGACGGAGAGCUUGCUCUCCUGAUCAGUGGCGAACGGGUGAGUAACACGUGGGCAACCUGCCCCAGACUUCGGGAUAACGCUUCGAAAGAGGUGCUAAUACCGGAUACGAGCUCCUUGGGCAUCCUUGGAGUUGGAAAGUUUUUCGGUCUGGGAUGGGCCCGCGGCCUAUCAGCUAGUUGGUGAGGUAACGGCUCACCAAGGCGACGACGGGUAGCCGGCCUGAGAGGGCGACCGGCCACACUGGGACUGAGACACGGCCCAGACUCCUACGGGAGGCAGCAGUGGGGAAUAUUGCGCAAUGGGCGAAAGCCUGACGCAGCAACGCCGCGUGAGGGAUGACGGCCUCGGUU
This 393-nucleotide ribosomal RNA is filed under the name uncultured bacterium. Its description in RNAcentral is "bacterial SSU rRNA". It matches the Rfam family "Bacterial small subunit ribosomal RNA", at positions 28 to 424 of the family's 1533-position model. The record is from RNAcentral.